Molecule: ribosomal RNA, 366 nt
Filed under: Clypeasteroida sp. USNM IZ 1448674
Lineage: Eukaryota; Metazoa; Echinodermata; Echinoidea; Clypeasteroida
Description: SSU rRNA
Rfam family: Eukaryotic small subunit ribosomal RNA
Source: RNAcentral
AUGCAUGUCUUAGUACAAGCUCUCCCGAGCGAAACUGCGGAUGGCUCAUUAAAUCAGUUAUGGUUCAUUGGAUCGAGUCCCCCGACAUGGAUAACUGUGGUAAUUCUAGAGCUAAUACAUGCGUCCAAGCGCCGACUUCAAGAAGGCGUGCUUUUAUUAGGAACAAGACCAGCCCGGCCCCGGCCGGCAACACUGGUGAACUCUGGAUAACACAGCCGAUCGCACGGUCUUCGCACCGGUGACGGAUCCUUCGAAUGUCUGCCCUAUCAACUUUCGAUGGUACGUUAUGCGCCUACCAUGGUCGUCACGGGUAACGGAGAAUCAGGGUUCGAUUCCGGAGAGGGAGCCUGAGAAACGGCUACCACA